UGGGGAAUAUUGCACAAUGGGGGAAACCCUGAUGCAGCAACGCCGCGUGAAGGAAGACGGUUUUCGGAUUGUAAACUUCUAUCGACAGGGAAGAAGAAAGUGACAGUACCUGAAUAAGAAGCCCCGGCUAACUACGUGCCAGCAGCCGCGGUAAUACGUAGGGGGCAAGCGUUAUCCGGAAUUACUGGGUGUAAAGGGUGAGUAGGCGGCAUGGUAAGCCAGAUGUGAAAGCCCGCAGCUUAACUGCGGGAUUGCAUUUGGAACUACUAAGCUAGAGUACAGGAGAGGAAAGCGGAAUUCCUAGUGUAGCGGUGAAAUGCGUAGAUAUUAGGAAGAACACCGGUGGCGAAGGCGGCUUUCUGGACUGAAACUGACGCUGAGGCACGAAAGCGUGGGGAGCGAACA
Molecule: ribosomal RNA, 405 nt
Filed under: uncultured Clostridium sp.
Lineage: Bacteria; Bacillati; Bacillota; Clostridia; Eubacteriales; Clostridiaceae
Description: bacterial SSU rRNA
Rfam family: Bacterial small subunit ribosomal RNA
Source: RNAcentral